AAACGACUCUCGGCAACGGAUAUCUCGGCUCUCGCAUCGAUGAAGAACGUAGCGAAAUGCGAUACUUGGUGUGAAUUGCAGAAUCCCGUGAACCAUCGAGUCUUUGAACGCAAGUUGCGCCCGAAAGCCUUAUGGCCGAGGGCACGUCUGCCUGGGCGUCACGCA
Molecule: ribosomal RNA, 165 nt
Filed under: Pteroxygonum denticulatum
Lineage: Eukaryota; Viridiplantae; Streptophyta; Magnoliopsida; Caryophyllales; Polygonaceae
Description: 5.8S ribosomal RNA
Rfam family: 5.8S ribosomal RNA
About the family: 5.8S ribosomal RNA (5.8S rRNA) is a component of the large subunit of the eukaryotic ribosome. It is transcribed by RNA polymerase I as part of the 45S precursor that also contains 18S and 28S rRNA. Functionally, it is thought that 5.8S rRNA may be involved in ribosome translocation.
Source: RNAcentral